This 498-nucleotide ribosomal RNA is filed under the name uncultured bacterium. RNAcentral describes it as "partial 16S ribosomal RNA". It matches the Rfam family "Bacterial small subunit ribosomal RNA", at positions 28 to 508 of the family's 1533-position model. The record is from RNAcentral.
GAUGAACGCUGGCGGCGUGCCUAAUACAUGCAAGUCGAGCGAACAGACGAGGAGCUUGCUCCUCUGACGUUAGCGGCGGACGGGUGAGUAACACGUGGAUAACCUACCUAUAAGACUGGGAUAACUUCGGGAAACCGGAGCUAAUACCGGAUAAUAUAUUGAACCGCAUGGUUCAAUAGUGAAAGACGGUUUUGCUGUCACUUAUAGAUGGAUCCGCGCCGCAUUAGCUAGUUGGUAAGGUAACGGCUUACCAAGGCAACGAUGCGUAGCCGACCUGAGAGGGUGAUCGGCCACACUGGAACUGAGACACGGUCCAGACUCCUACGGGAGGCAGCAGUAGGGAAUCUUCCGCAAUGGGCGAAAGCCUGACGGAGCAACGCCGCGUGAGUGAUGAAGGUCUUCGGAUCGUAAAACUCUGUUAUUAGGGAAGAACAAAUGUGUAAGUAACUAUGCACGUCUUGACGGUACCUAAUCAGAAAGCCGCGGCUAACUACGUGC